AUGGAGUUCGAGUCAGAUCAGUGCAGGGCGAUGAAGGUAGCAAUAGAAAAAGUGAUGCCAAGCAGCACGCACUGGUGGUGCAAGUGUCACGUGCUUAAGAAAGCAAAAGAAUAUCUUGGUCCGUAUUACACAAAGACGAGCAAAUUCAGAUCAGAUUUCCACAAAAUAAUACAUCACAUGCUGACGGUUGAUGAGUUCGAGACUGCAUGGAAAGUGCUGACAGAGACACAUGGUCUAAAAAAACACCAUUACCUAACGCAGAUCUAUGAAAUAAGAUCAAAGUGGUCAAAACCAUGCUUCAAGGGAAAAUUUUGUGCAAAAAUGACCAGCAGAACGCAGCGAAAGCGCCAACCGUAUGCUGAAGGGGAGGCAAGUGAGAACUAUGAAGAGAGAGGCGUACAAAAAUAA
This 408-nucleotide ribosomal RNA is filed under the name Triticum aestivum (bread wheat). RNAcentral describes it as "partial small subunit ribosomal RNA". Lineage: Eukaryota; Viridiplantae; Streptophyta; Magnoliopsida; Poales; Poaceae. The record is from RNAcentral.